This is a regulatory RNA element of Vibrio sp. qd031, 129 nucleotides long. It matches the Rfam family "Histidine operon leader". Rfam says of the family: At least 6 amino acid operons are known to be regulated by attenuation. In each a leader sequence of 150-200 bp is found upstream of the first gene in the operon. This leader sequence can assume two different secondary structures known as the terminator and the anti-terminator structure. NCBI's taxonomy places the organism in Bacteria, Pseudomonadati, Pseudomonadota, Gammaproteobacteria, Vibrionales, Vibrionaceae. The record is from Rfam.
CCAUCAUCACCAUCACCCAAGGUAAUCUUUCGGGAGAUGUUCGCAUACCCGGGAGAUACACUCCCGGAGGACGAUUUUGAUCAACAGAUUCAAACCCUCGGGAGACCAUUCUUCCGAGGGUUUUUUAAU